CUAAUUACAUGCAAUAUUUAAUUACAUGCACCAUAUUAAGAUUCUAUUUUAUAACUUUAACCACUUUCCUCCUCCAUUAAUCUUCCACUCCCUCUCUUUUGUAAUUCUUUUACAUGCACCACUCUCAUCCUCCAUUAAUUAAUCUCCUACCCCCUCUCUUUUGUAACUCUUUUACAUGCACCAUAAAAAAAUAUCAUCGUCUAAUCUCCUACUGCGCACUCAUCUCCCUCUUUCUCUCAUUGUGUUAACAAAGAAGAAGAAGAAGAAGAAGAAGAGCCUCUGAAGAACAUUGUCUCCUUCAAGAAGCAUCGUCCAGCGAAGCCGAGCCGCGACCUAUAUAAGUGCUCGCUGAGUCGGUCCGCACGGGGGCCUCUACUUACUAUGUAAAUUUAGUCAUACAAAUUAACUGUACUUAAUAUGUUAUAGCUUUCUAUAUAUCAAUAAAUCGUAAAUAUAAAAUUUAUUAAAAUUUUUAAAUUUUACUUCUAUUAUCUACCCGCUGCAUCGCGCGGGUCUCU
This 518-nucleotide long non-coding RNA is filed under the name Ananas comosus (pineapple). RNAcentral describes it as "long non-coding RNA (ACOM_LNC044551)". The record is from RNAcentral. Lineage: Eukaryota; Viridiplantae; Streptophyta; Magnoliopsida; Poales; Bromeliaceae.